UAAAGCGAUUCAGCGGGUUACGAUUGACGGAGCGAAGCGACGUCAAAGCGUAUACAAAGUCGAGUCGGUUUAAGGAUACGUUCGUUGGGUAGGGGAGCGUUCUGUAAGCCUGUGAAGGUGGCCUGUGAGGGUUGCUGGAGGUAUCAGAAGUGCGAAUGCUGACAUAAGUAACGAUAAAGCGGGUGAAAAGCCCGCUCGCCGGAAGACCAAGGGUUCCUGUCCAACGUUAAUCGGGGCAGGGUGAGUCGACCCCUAAGGCGAGGCCGAAAGGCGUAGUCGAUGGGAAACGGGUUAAUAUUCCCGUACUUGGUGUUACUGCGAAGGGGGGACGGAGAAGGCUAUGUUGGCCGGGCGACGGUUGUCCCGGUUUAAGCGUGUAGGUGUGUGUUCCAGGUAAAUCCGGUUCACUUUAACACUGAGGCGUGAUGACGAGGCACUACGGUGCUGAAGCAACAAAUGCCCUGCUUCCAGGAAAAGCCUCUAAGCAUCAGGUAACAUCAAAUCGUACCCCAAACCGACACAGGUGGUCAGGUAGAGAAUACCAAGGCGCUUGAGAGAACUCGGGUGAAGGAACUAGGCAAAAUGGUGCCGUAACUUCGGGAGAAGGCACGCUGACACGUAGGUGAAGUGAUUUACUCAUGGAGCUGAAGUCAGUCGAAGAUACCAGCUGGCUGCAACUGUUUAUUAAAAACACAGCACUGUGCAAACACGAAAGUGGACGUAUACGGUGUGACGCCUGCCCGGUGCCGGAAGGUUAAUUGAUGGGGUCAGCGCAAGCGAAGCUCCUGAUCGAAGCCCCGGUAAACGGCGGCCGUAACUAUAACGGUCCUAAGGUAGCGAAAUUCCUUGUCGGGUAAGUUCCGACCUGCACGAAUGGCGUAAUGAUGGCCAGGCUGUCUCCACCCGAGACUCAGUGAAAUUGAACUCGCUGUGAAGAUGCAGUGUACCCGCGGCAAGACGGAAAGACCCCGUGAACCUUUACUAUAGCUUGACACUGAACAUUGAGCCUUGAUGUGUAGGAUAGGUGGGAGGCUUUGAAGUGUGGACGCCAGUCUGCAUGGAGCCGACCUUGAAAUACCACCCUUUAAUGUUU
RNAcentral lists this ribosomal RNA (1093 nucleotides) under Salmonella enterica subsp. enterica serovar 6,7:b:-. Its description in RNAcentral is "partial 23S ribosomal RNA". It matches the Rfam family "Bacterial large subunit ribosomal RNA", at positions 1163 to 2215 of the family's 2925-position model. Lineage: Bacteria; Pseudomonadati; Pseudomonadota; Gammaproteobacteria; Enterobacterales; Enterobacteriaceae. The record is from RNAcentral.